This 486-nucleotide ribosomal RNA is filed under the name uncultured bacterium. Its description in RNAcentral is "bacterial SSU rRNA". It matches the Rfam family "Bacterial small subunit ribosomal RNA", at positions 899 to 1397 of the family's 1533-position model. The record is from RNAcentral.
ACUCAAAGGAAUAGACGGGUCCCCGCACAAGCAGCGGAGCGUGUGGUUUAAUUCGAGGCUACACGAAGAACCUUACCAGGGUUUGACAUGCUAGUGGUAGUGAAGCGAAAGCGGAACGACCCUUCGGGGAGCUAGCACAGGUGCUGCAUGGCUGUCGUCAGCUCGUGUCGUGAGAUGUCAGGUUAAGUCCUGUAACGAGCGCAACCCUCGUCGUUAGUUACAAGUGUCUAACGAGACUGCCCGUGAUAAGCGGGAGGAAGGUGAGGAUGACGUCAAGUCAGCAUGGCCUUUAUGUCCUGGGCUACACACACGCUACAAUGGCCGGUACAAUGGGUUGCCAAGUCGCGAGACGGAGCCAAUCCCUCAAAGCCGGUCUCAGUUCGGAUUGCAGGCUGCAACUCGCCUGCAUGAAGUCGGAGUUGCUAGUAACCGCGCGUCAGCUAUAGUGCGGUGAAUACGUUCCCGGGGAUUGUACACACCGCCCGU